AUGGAUCAUUACCAAAGGAUUCGUCCAUGUCUUGUGAAUUGUAUUGAAAGCACGGUCGGAGUGAGAGCGAUGGUGUUGGGUGCGGCAGUGUCACAAAUGUGAUGGUGCGUCAUCCUGCAUUGGCACUCUCCCUUCGGCCGCCACUAAACUUCAACUUACAGCCUAGUUAUUCAAACUAAAAACAACUUUUAGCAAUGGAUCUCUUGGCUCUC
This 212-nucleotide unclassified non-coding RNA is filed under the name uncultured fungus. RNAcentral describes it as "partial contains 18S rRNA, ITS1, 5.8S rRNA, ITS2 and 28S rRNA". Lineage: Eukaryota; Fungi. The record is from RNAcentral.